CUUUCUUGGCUGAUCCCUUACGCUGUAUGGCGUGCUCGUUUGGGUUGGGCAUCGGCUAAGAGUGCUCGGAGCGUGGAUUAACUCCAGUCUCCUAUCAGGUGUGCAUUUUCUCGCCACUCUAGCUGUAGGAUGGCUACUUCGGGCCGCGAUGAGCCGAAAGGGGCUAUAUGGGCCCAAUGGGCUUACAGGCCCACUCUAGCUGUAGUAAAUAUUGAACUAGGCUAAGUGAAUCUCAUAUUUGUGGCUAGAUUUGGGCUAAAAGGGCCACACGAGUGUGUGGGCCCAUUUGGGCUGAGAAUGGGCUUUAGGGCCAUUCAUAUUGUUAUCCCUGUUUAGAAUACUUUAGUUUACCAAAUUACUAAAAUACCCUCGACUUGUAAAAUUACCAAAGUACCCCCGAUUUAUAAAAUUACUAAAAUACUCCUGUAAGAUAGAAUUAUCGUUUUACCCUUGAUUUAUAGAAUUAUCGUUUUACUCUCGAUUUACAGAAUUACCAUUUUACCCUCGAUUUAUAGAAUUAUCAUUUUACUCUCGAUUUAUAGAAUUACCAUUUUACCCUCAAUUUACAAAAUUAUCGUUUUACCCUCAGUUUACAAAAUUACCGUUUUACCCUCAGUUUAUAAAAUUAUCAUUUUACCCUCGAUUGUGAAAUUACUUAAAUACCCCUGUAGGAUAGAGUUACCAAAAUACCCCUAGUUUGUAAAAUUACUAAAAUACCUUAGUUUGUAAAAUUACCGAAAUACCACUGGUUUGUGAAAUUACAUAAAUACCCUCAAUUUGUAAAAUUACAAAAAUACCCCUGAUUUACAAAAUUACAAAAAUACCAUUGACUUUCUAAAAAUUAUAAAAAUACCAUUGGUUUACAAAAUUACUGAAAUACCCUUAGUUUGUAGAUUUACCAAAACACCCUUGUAGGAUGAAAUUACUAAAAUACCCCUAAUAGGUAAAAAGAUCGUAAAACCCCAUGUAGGGUAAAGUAACCGUAAUACCCUUGUAUGGUAAAAUGACAAAUAUGCCCUUAUGUUUCGUAUGACUGAUGUACUUAGGAUUUACAUAUAUUGAUAUUGGAUUAGUUAAGUUUGAGUGAUAGGUGGUGGUUAUCGUAGGUGAUUGAUUAUGGAAACGUUUCAACUUCAACCCAUAACAGGUGUGUACUAACCGUCGUAAUGCUUAGAUUAAUAUCUGUUGAGAAGCCAAAAUGCUAAAAUACCGGCAUUUCGGGAACUUGUAAUGUUGCGUGUGGGUAUAGAUGCGAUAAAUACGAUAAGAUCGGUGUUUGGAUCGAUAGAACAUGUAAGAACUUAAUUUUGUGCACGAUGGUAAGUUGGGCCUUAAUGGGCAAUAAUUGGGCCAAAUGGGCUUUUGGGCCCAUUUGGGUAAAAUUGAUAGAAAAUGGAAUUUGGAAAAGUUGCAUGUUAACACGGUUAGUAUUGUUGUAAAACUUGGGUUAGUGGGCUAAAUCAGCAUUCGUAGGGCCCAUUAGGGGUUUUGGGCCCAAAAGCCCGAAUUUGAUAAGUGGGUUAAAGAUCAUUGUUUAAACACUCAGAAAUAUUGACAAUUGUAAUGAACAUGGAAAACCCUGAUUUUUAGUAAAAUUACAAAAAUACCCUUAUAAUAUGAAAAAUGACUGUUUUGCCCUUAUAGGUAAGUGACUGACUUGGACUGUGUGGUUGACGGAUUUGAUUGUGAAUAUAUGUUGGUGAUAUGAAUGACUUGACUGUGAUUGUUUGAUUCAAAUAUGGGCAUGACAUUCUGCAUACUUGACAUGUUGCAUGGGUUAGGUUUUAUAAAUGGAGGAAGUGCUAAAAGGGCUAUGCCCCAGUUUACCGAAAAGGGCUUUGCCCCAGUUUAUCAAAAAGGGCUUUGCCCCAGUUAUUAAAAGAGGCUAGGCCUCCAGUUAUAUGAUAAAGCAGCUAUGUUGCCAGUGGAGAGUUUGGUUGGGUGGGUUGAGUUAUUCCCCACAUGGUGUGUUGGUUGGUACGGGUGGAGAGUAGCGGAUGGUGGGUCGAGUAGUCUCCCCAAAUGGGUUUGCAUACAUUCAUUGACAUUACAUGUGAUAUUGAAAUGGGCUUGCAUAAAUUCAUUGACUUUACAUGUGAUAUUGAAAUGGGCCUAAGGGCCAUACCGUUUACAGUAAAGGCUUCGGCCCAGUGAUAUGAUUUAUGAAAAGGCUUUGGCCCAGUGAUAUGAUUUAUGAAAAGGCUUCGGCCCAGUGAUAUGAUUUAUUGGGAUUACACACUGAGUUUUCGUAAACUCACCCUGAUUCUAACUGUGCAGGUAAUCCCUAAGCUUAGAUGGUUUGGAGCUGCAAGGGACUCAGAGAUGGCCACACUACUGUUUCUGUUUCUUUUAAUUGCAAUAAUUAGCUGAUUUAUUUCUUUAUAAGUUUUAUCUUAUUAAUAUUAUUAUUUGGUUUUGGGUUGUAAUAAGGCCAUUUUAAUUUUUUUCUGGGAUUAUUUUAUCUUAUACCCUAUA
RNAcentral lists this long non-coding RNA (2475 nucleotides) under Gossypium barbadense (sea-island cotton). RNAcentral describes it as "long non-coding RNA (GBAR_LNC006094)". The record is from RNAcentral. Lineage: Eukaryota; Viridiplantae; Streptophyta; Magnoliopsida; Malvales; Malvaceae.